RNAcentral lists this non-coding RNA (29 nucleotides) under Homo sapiens (human). The record is from RNAcentral. Lineage: Eukaryota; Metazoa; Chordata; Mammalia; Primates; Hominidae.
UGCUGGAAUUGGUACAGUCCAGAGGGAUC